This is a long non-coding RNA of Scylla paramamosain (green mud crab), 2328 nucleotides long. RefSeq lists it as uncharacterized. Lineage: Eukaryota; Metazoa; Arthropoda; Malacostraca; Decapoda; Portunidae. The record is from RefSeq and is a predicted model, not a curated record. The transcript is spliced from 8 exons.
GUGAUGUAGGUUCUUUUGAUAUUUUAAACUUGUAGCUUUAAAGACGUUUCAUCCUUGCAUAGUUCAGUACUUUCACUUAUCCACUCGUUAACUACCAGCAUAAUGUCCUCCCACCUCCUAGGGAUCUUUUACUUGCACGAACACCACAACAUUCAGCACACUCGUGCAAGCUUACUCUUCUUGUUUUAUACGCGCUCAGUCCCAGUAGUAAUUGUAUGUAGGUGAUCAAACCUAUUUAACACCUUCCUAGACAGUCUUAGAAUAUAAUAAUCCCUUUUCCAAAGACAGGUACGCACCUUUCAUAGCCCUGCCAUUCACGUAAACGUAAAAAAUAUAGUCUUUGUAACUUCGCACUGUUGCAAACUGAACGAUUUCCUACCUGCUGUUUUUGUCUCCAUCAUAGGAUAUUGCUGUAUACUAAUUAUGUAGUGAUGUGAACUAGGAUUCCCUCGUUUGAUCUCAAAGUGGCUGGACGAUUUAUAUAACCAUGAUAAUUUUCAAAAGCAUUAGAACAGAAAGAGGUUUGGAUUAACUUGUAUUCAAGAAGCUGGAUUAAAUUAAUCACUGUCUAUGACCACAUUGUUGUCCACGUUUCAUCCUGCGUUUAAGAUACAUGAUAACUUUUGCAGGACUGUCGCCAAAUCAUUCCAUAGAAUACAAGCGAGUUUAUAUAUUGCUCUGUUGUAAAUUAUAAUAAUAAUCAGAGCAAUUAUUAUUGUUUACUGAGCGUCUCAUAUUAAAAAAAAAUGUCUACGUGCCUAUUAUGGGAAGGUUUUAGACAUCACGUCACCGUUGCAAGGGCAAAAUUCAAAGUAUUAUAAUGAAUCAUAAUUCCCUUUUUCUCACUAUAAGGUGGUUUACCGAUGUAUCUGCUUUACGCCACGCUAGGACAUUAGAUUCGAAAGCAUGAAUAUACAAGGGAAGUAAGAAAAAUAACAAGAGAUGAAGGAACCUAUUUCUGGCUCGGAGGGAAAAACACUUGGUCACGCACUGCGCCAUUUGAAUCUCACGCGGCGGUGUGAGGGCAAGGGGCGUUGGUGGUGGUGGUGGUGACGCUGGGGGAGGCAGGGAUUUGUGUUACAUUGCUUUGGUCGGCACUGGUAAGUCUUGCCACACACUCUCCUAAUAGUGAUCAGUGCAUAUUCCUGGCGGUGGUGGUGGUGUGAUCACAUUGUUUUGGCAGGGGCGCUGGGGAAGGUGGGAUUGGUGUUACAUUGUUUUAGUCAACACUGGCCAGUCUUGCCACACACUCUCCCAAUAGCGAUCAGUGUUUGCAUAUUCCCGGCAGCUUCUUCCUCCAUCAAGCAGCACCAGAGAGACACAGCUACUUAAGCUGCUGAUGAAUUGCCAUCGCGUUCUAGUGAGCCAGCUGUUCAAGAGAUGAGACCUACUGCGGAGUAAAAUGCUUACCUGCUAAUCUUCAUCUUCACCGUUCAGGAAUACGUUCUUUCAAGCUGCACGGUGGCAUACCUGUCCGGCUGGAUCUUGAUUGGGCGAGGCUAUCAACCAGGAGUUCAGUUGGUCAGGAGAGAGGCAUCAGGAACAUGAGUGCUGUCGUCAGGAGACGUUGCUACAAGUACCACCACCUCUUCCUAUCUUUGGGGAAAUAGUAAGGCAUAGAUGAGACAGUUGACUGAAACACCUGAAUCACCUGAAGACAUCACUACCACUGUCACCUUCUUUGGUUUCUUUUUGAUCCUGAACUCUGCUGAAAUGUCUACUUGCUGCACAGCUUGUCUGAAUCCUCAUGGAUGAGCAGCAGUAACAUUUAUGGACAGUACUGAGGAUAUGGCAUCAUAUGAAGAAGCCAGCAUUUUUCAUAGAUGUUUCAGUGGCAAUGAAGACUUUCCUUACUGAGUGACUGGCAUUGAGAUGUUUAACAACCAUCUCACUAGAAGUUAUACCUUCCAAUGCAGGAAGUUCAUCACUCAAGGAUGAUCCAGGGAGAAAUGAGCCUCUCGAGUCUUCUGAGUCAGUGCAUCAUCUUACAGCACGCACUGAGCAGCACUUUGACCUCCAGCCUGAAUUCUUUCUCCUGUAAUGUAAAAUGGUGAUGCUGGGAGAAAUUAACCUGUUGAGUCUUCUGGGUCAGUGCAUCACCUGAUAACGUGCACUGAGCAGCACUGUGACCUUGCUGAGGUCUUUCUCCUAUGCUAUGUUCCCAACAAGACAGGAUGUGAAUGCUGUAUAUGGGUGUCACUCUUGUGUAAAUGUCUCUAUCCCCUCUCCUGCUGCUGCUGCUGGUCUGCCUCAGUUAAGACACCUUGUAAACAACAUUAUGAGUUUUGCUAUUUGUGCUGUAACACUAAAAUAAAGUUAGAAAAGUCA